This 1255-nucleotide unclassified non-coding RNA is filed under the name Hevea brasiliensis (rubber tree). Lineage: Eukaryota; Viridiplantae; Streptophyta; Magnoliopsida; Malpighiales; Euphorbiaceae. The record is from RNAcentral.
GAAGCAAAUUGAGCAGAUCAACCUCAUAUUAAUUUCUUCUUUCACUAAAGAAAGGUCAUUAGAUAUGGCUUCCUUUAAUUCUUCCUCUCCAACUCUCACAACCUUUAAAUUCCUUAUAGGGGCAUUUUAUUUUCUUGUUGGAAUCUCCUCUGCUCAGUUAUCUUCUACUUUCUAUUCAACAACAUGCCCUAGUGCCCUCUCCUCCAUUAAGUCAGCUGUAAACUCUGCUGUAUCCAGUGAGGCUCGUAUGGGUGCAUCAUUGCUUCGUCUUCAUUUCCAUGACUGCUUUGUUAAUGGAUGUGAUGCAUCAGUAUUGUUGGAUGGAGCGGCAGGUGAGAAGACAGCACCCGCUAACAAUAAUUCUCUAAGGGGCUUUGAAGUUAUUGACAAGAUUAAAUCCCAAUUGGAGAGUUCAUGCCCUGGUGUGGUUUCCUGUGCAGAUAUCUUAACCGUUGCUGCUAGAGACUCUGUUGUUGCUUUGGGUGGACCUAGUUGGACAGUUCAAUUAGGCAGAAGAGAUUCAACCACAGCAAGUUUUAGUGCUGCUUCUACCAACAUACCUUCUCCAUUUUCAGAUCUCAGUCUUCUCAUCUCUAAUUUCUCCAGCAAAGGUUUCACUACUAAAGAAAUGGUGGCUCUCUCAGGAUCUCAUACAAUUGGACAAGCAAGAUGCACAAUAUUUCGCAACAGGAUUUACAACGAAACCAACAUAGAUUCUUCAUUUGCAACAUCACUAAAAGCCAAUUGUCCUACCUCUGGAGGAGACAAUACACUCGCUCCUCUUGAUCUCACCAGUCCAAAUGCUUUUGAUAAUGCUUAUUUCAGGAAUUUGUUGAGCCAAAAGGGACUCCUGCACUCUGACCAACAACUCUUCAGUGGAGGUUCUACAGACGCUCAAGUCAGAGCUUAUAGCACCAAUCCAACAUCUUUCAGUACAGAUUUUGCCAAUGCAAUGGUGAAGAUGGGAAACCUCAGCCCACUUACAGGCACAAGUGGCCAGAUCAGGACCAACUGUAGGAAAGCCAAUUGAGUCUAUUAUACUCUGUUUUCAGGUCUUUUCAUGGCCAAUACAUAACUGUAUUCCAUAUAUGCAUUGUGUAAUAGAGACAUGUUCCGUUGUUGUUUCUUUUCUUUUUAUAAUGGAAGUUCCUGUUGUUGAUUUUCAUUUGUAUUAGUGGGAUUUACAUAUUAAAUUUUGUUUCAUGUGGAUGUAUUAUCUUCCUUAAUAAAAGUAAUGCGUUUUCUUAGUAAAAAA